This 226-nucleotide long non-coding RNA is filed under the name Malus domestica (apple). Its description in RNAcentral is "long non-coding RNA (MDOM_LNC019993)". The record is from RNAcentral. Lineage: Eukaryota; Viridiplantae; Streptophyta; Magnoliopsida; Rosales; Rosaceae.
UUAGUUCGUUAGAUGUUAUCUAUUACCCAUAUAUAUAGGAUAUAUACUUCUAAAACAAUAAGAUUGUCAAUUAGAAGAUCUUCCAAAAUUUUCAUAACUCCAUAAGAUGUAGUUAGAAAGAAAGACAAAUCUUAAGCAUGUUAAAGAUUUGAGGUUGUGUGCUAAUAAGCAAUAUUUGUUUGAUAACAAUCUUGUGGGAUAUCCUUAAAUUAACUUUUGGAUAUCG